This 1007-nucleotide ribosomal RNA is filed under the name Clostridioides difficile. RNAcentral describes it as "partial 23S ribosomal RNA". It matches the Rfam family "Bacterial large subunit ribosomal RNA", at positions 398 to 1415 of the family's 2925-position model. The record is from RNAcentral. Lineage: Bacteria; Bacillati; Bacillota; Clostridia; Peptostreptococcales; Peptostreptococcaceae.
AGAUAUGAUCCAGAGUACCACGGGACACGUGAAACCCUGUGGGAAGCAGGAGGGACCACCCUCCAAGGCUAAAUACUACCUAGUGACCGAUAGCGUAUAGUACCGUGAGGGAAAGGUGAAAAGAACCCCGGGAGGGGAGUGAAAUAGAACCUGAAACCCUGCACUUACAAGCUGUGGAAGCACAUUUCUUGUGUGACCGCGUACUUUUUGUAGAACGGGCCAACGAGUUACGUUAAGUAGCAAGGUUAAGCACUUAAGGUGCGGAGCCGUAGCGAAAGCGAGUUUUAACUGAGCGUUCAGUUACUUGACGUAGACCCGAAACCGGGCGACCUACCCAUGAGCAGGAUGAAGCGAAAGUAAAAUUUCGUGGAGGUCCGAACCCACGAGCGUUGAAAAGCUCGGGGAUGACUUGUGGGUAGCGGUGAAAUUCCAAUCGAGCCCGGAGAUAGCUGGUUCUCCCCGAAAUAGCUUUAGGGCUAGCCUCAAGGUGAGAGAUACGGAGGUAGAGCACUGAAUGUCCUAGGGGGUAUUGCACCUACCGAAGACUAUCAAACUCCGAAUGCCGUCAUCUUAUACUUGGGAGUCAGACUGUGGGUGAUAAGAUUCAUAGUCGAAAGGGCAACAGCCCAGAUCGUCAGCUAAGGUCCCUAAAUGUAAGUUAAGUGGUAAAGGAUGUGGGAUUGCACAGACAACCAGGAUGUUGGCUUAGAAGCAGCCACUCAUUCAAAGAGUGCGUAAUAGCUCACUGGUCGAGUGAUCCUGCGCCGAAGAUUUCCGGGGCUAAAACUUACUACCGAAGCUACGGCAUCAGUAAUGAUGGGUAGGGGAGCUUCCCAUACGGGUUGAAGCAUGACCGUAAGGACAUGUGGACAGUAUGGGAGUGAGAAUGUUGGCAUGAGUAGCGAGAUGUGGGUGAGAAUCCCACAGGCCGUAAACCCAAGGUUUCCAGGGGAAGGUUCGUCCGCCCUGGGUUAGUCGGGACCUAAGCUGAGGCCGAAAGGCGUAGG